CCCUUAGAUGCCCGGGGCCGCACGCGCGCUACACUGAAGGAAUCAGCGUGGCUUUCUCCCUGACCCGAAAGGGUUGGGAAACCCGUUGAAUCUCCUUCGUGAUAGGGAUUGGGGCUUGAAAUUGUUCCCCAUGAACGAGGAAUUCCCAGUAAGCGCGAGUCAUAAGCUCGCGUUGAUUACGUCCCUGCCCUUUGUACACACCGCCCGUCGCUACUACCGAUUGAACGGUUUAGUGAGGGCCUCGGAUUGGUCUCGGCCCGCUCUUUACCGGGCGGCGCCGUUGGUCGAGAAGACGCUCGAGCUUGAUCGUUUAGAGGAAGUAAAAGUCGUAACA
Molecule: ribosomal RNA, 334 nt
Filed under: uncultured eukaryote
Lineage: Eukaryota
Description: partial 18S ribosomal RNA
Rfam family: Eukaryotic small subunit ribosomal RNA
Source: RNAcentral